UAGUGAUUGUGCCAGCCGCCGCGGUAAUACAGAGGGUGCAAGCGUUAAUCGGAAUUACUGGGCGUAAAGCGAGCGUAGGUGGCUUGAUAAGUCAGAUGUGAAAGCCCCGGGCUUAACCUGGGAACGGCAUCUGAUACUGUUAGGCUAGAGUAGGUGAGAGGAAGGUAGAAUUCCAGGUGUAGCGGUGAAAUGCGUAGAGAUCUGGAGGAAUACCGAUGGCGAAGGCAGCCUUCUGGCAUCAUACUGACACUGAGGUUCGAAAGCGUGGGUAGCAAACAGGAUUAGAUACCCUGGUAGUCCACGCCGUAAACGAUGUCUACUAGUCGUUGGGUCCCUUGAGGACUUAGUGACGCAGCUAACGCAAUAAGUAGACCGCCUGGGGAGUACGGCCGCAAGGUUAAAACUCAAAUGAAUUGACGGGGGCCUGCACAAGCGGUGGAGCAUGUGGUUUAAUUCGAUGCAACGCGAAGAACCUUACGUGGUCUUGACAUAUCUAGAAUCCUGCAGAGAUGCGGGAGUGCCUUCGGGAAUUAGAAUACAGGUGCUGCAUGGCUGUCGUCAGCUCGUGUCGUGAGAUGUUGGGUUAAGUCCCGCAACGAGCGCAACCCUUGUCCUUAGUUACCAGCGGUUUGGCCGGGAACUCUAAGGAUACUGCCAGUGACAAACUGGAGGAAGGCGGGGACGACGUCAAGUCAUCAUGGCCCUUACGACCAGGGCUACACACGUGCUACAAUGGUAGGUACAGAGGGCAGCUACACAGCGAUGUGAUGCGAAUCUCAAAAAGCCUAUCGUAGUCCAGAUUGGAGUCUGCAACUCGACUCCAUGAAGUAGGAAUCGCUAGUAAUCGCGGAUCAGAAUGCCGCGGUGAAUACAUUCCCGGGCCUUGUACACACCGCCCGUCACACCAUGGGAGUUGAUUGCACCAGAAGUGGUUAGCCUAACCUUUUAGGAAGGCGAUCACCACGGUGUGGUUGAUGACUGGGGUGAAGUCGUAACAAGGUAACCG
This 1006-nucleotide ribosomal RNA is filed under the name uncultured bacterium. RNAcentral describes it as "bacterial SSU rRNA". It matches the Rfam family "Bacterial small subunit ribosomal RNA", at positions 495 to 1502 of the family's 1533-position model. The record is from RNAcentral.